GAGUUUGAUCAUGGUUCAGAUUGAACGCUGGCGGAAUGCUUUACACAUGCAAGUCGAGCGGCAGCGCGGGGCAACCUGGCGGCGAGCGGCGAACGGGUGAGUAAUGCAUCGGAACAUGUCCAUGUCGUGGGGGAUAGCCCGGCGAAAGCCGGAUUAAUACCGCAUACGCCCGAGAGGGGAAAGUGGGGGACCGCAAGGCCUCACGCGAUUGGGUUGGCCGAUGUCCGAUUAGCUAGUUGGCGGGGUAAGAGCCCACCAAGGCGAUGAUCGGUAGCUGGUCUGAGAGGAUGAUCAGCCACACUGGGACUGAGACACGGCCCAGACUCCUACGGGAGGCAGCAGUGGGGAAUUUUGGACAAUGGGGGCAACCCUGAUCCAGCCAUUCCGCGUGAGUGAAGAAGGCC
RNAcentral lists this ribosomal RNA (404 nucleotides) under uncultured beta proteobacterium. RNAcentral describes it as "bacterial SSU rRNA". It matches the Rfam family "Bacterial small subunit ribosomal RNA", at positions 9 to 416 of the family's 1533-position model. Lineage: Bacteria; Pseudomonadati; Pseudomonadota; Betaproteobacteria. The record is from RNAcentral.